GGCGGACGGGUGAGUAAUGCGUAGGAAUCUACCUUCAAGUGGGGGAUAGCCCGGAGAAAUCCGGAUUAAUACCGCAUGUUCUCUACGGAGAAAAGCGGGCCUCUGAUUCAAGCUCGCGCUUGGGGAUGAGCCUACGUCGGAUUAGCUAGUUGGUGGGGUAAAGGCCUACCAAGGCGACGAUCCGUAGCUGGUUUGAGAGGAUGACCAGCCACACUGGGACUGAGACACGGCCCAG
RNAcentral lists this ribosomal RNA (235 nucleotides) under uncultured bacterium. Its description in RNAcentral is "partial 16S ribosomal RNA". It matches the Rfam family "Bacterial small subunit ribosomal RNA", at positions 97 to 334 of the family's 1533-position model. The record is from RNAcentral.